AGUGAAGCGGGAUGAGCUCAAAUUUAAAAUCUGGCUGGUUUACUAGUCCGAAUUGUAGUUUAAAGAAGUGUUUUCGGUGGCAGCCUGGGUAUAAAUCCUUUGGAACAGGGUAUCAUAGAGGGUGAGAAUCCCGUCUUUGACUCAGUGCAUGCUACUAUGUGAUACAUUUUCAAAGAGUCGAGUUGUUUGGGAAUGCAGCUCAAAAUGGGUGGUAAAUUUCAUCUAAGGCUAAAUAUUGGCGAGAGACCGAUAGCGAACAAGUACCGUGAGGGAAAGAUGAAAAGAACUUUGAAAAGAGAGUUAAACAGUGCGUGAAAUUGUUGAAAGGGAAACGCUUGACACCAGUCAUGCGAGCGGAAAAUCAGUCUUUUGCAGUGGGGGGUUGUGUGGGAUCGGACCGCAAGGCCGGCCUAUGCUGCAUCUCUGCUGUAAGUGAUGCACUUUUUCGUUUGCAGGCCAACAUCAGUUUCUUCUGCUGGACAAAACUCUUGAGAAGGUAGCAGCUUUGGCUGUGUUAUAGCUCUUGAGCGAUACAGUGGAGGGGACUGAGGUUUUCGCAGCGCGUGCUUUCGGGCAAGGCUGAUUGGGUGCUAUGGGAUCGUUCGGUGUACAAUGCAUGCAUUUUGCGCCGUGUCUUUUCUGUACUCGCUCAACUCGGCUCUUCCGCGCUUAGGAUGUUGGCUUAAUGGUUUUAAUCGACCCGUCUUGAAACACGGACCAAGGAGUCUAACAUAUAUGCAAGUGUUUGGGUGGCAAACCCAUGCGCGUAAUGAAAGUGAACGUAGGUGCCAUCCGCAAGGUGCAGCAUCGACCGAUCUUGAUAUUUUUGGAUAGAUUUGAGUAAGAGCAUAUAUGCUGGGACCCGAAAGAUGGUGAACUAUGCCUGAAUAGGGUGAAGCCAGAGGAAACUCUGGUGGAGGCUCGUAGCGAUUCUGACGUGCAAAUCGAUCGUCAAAUUUGGGUAUAGGGGCGAAAGACUAAUCGAACC
This 988-nucleotide ribosomal RNA is filed under the name Mortierella antarctica. Its description in RNAcentral is "eukaryotic LSU rRNA". It matches the Rfam family "Eukaryotic large subunit ribosomal RNA", at positions 92 to 941 of the family's 3401-position model. Lineage: Eukaryota; Fungi; Mortierellomycota; Mortierellomycetes; Mortierellales; Mortierellaceae. The record is from RNAcentral.